RNA transcript from Carlito syrichta (Philippine tarsier), 514 nucleotides. It is a transcript of the gene named 40S ribosomal protein S15 pseudogene, with no coding region annotated. NCBI's taxonomy places the organism in Eukaryota, Metazoa, Chordata, Mammalia, Primates, Tarsiidae. The record is from RefSeq and is a predicted model, not a curated record. The transcript has a single exon.
CAAUAAAUCAAAAAAUUAGAGGCAGCCCUUUCCGAGGAGCCGGCAAGAUGGCGGAAGUGGAGCAGAAGAAGAAGAGGACCUUCCGCAAGUUGACCUACCGUGGGAUGGACCUGGACCAGCUGCUGGACAUGUCCUACAAGCAGCUGAUGCAGCUGUAUAGCAUGCAGCAGUGCCGGCAGCUGAACUGAGGGCUGUGGCGAAAGCAGCACUCGCUGCUCAAGCAGCGGUGCAAGGCCAAGAAGGAGGCACCCCUCAUGGAGAAGCCCGAGGUGGUGAAGACCCACCUGCAUGACAUGAUCAUCCUGCCCGAGAUGGUGGGCAGCAUGGUGGCCAUGUACAACAGCAAGACCUUCAGCCAGGUGGAGAUCAAGCCGGAGAUGAUCGGCCACUACCUGGGCAAGUUCUCCAUCAUCUACAAGCCUGUGAAGCACUGGCAGCCUGGCAUCAGUUCCACCCACUCCUCCCGCUUCAUCCCACUCAAGUAGUCACUGCCAAUAAAGAUACGCCUGUCCAG